AGUAUUCCGUCUACUUUGUCAACUAAGGUCAGAAACAAUCACAGUAAGCACACAACAAGACAAAAAUAAAAGUGCUCUAAAAGUGAAUUGGACUUUUCAAGGAUACCUUUGGUCAUAUGAAAAAGGACCAAAGUGGUUUCAUUGGGAUUGGAUCAAUGGAGAUUUUUUGGAACAUUUCAAUAUGAAGGAUUCAAGGGAUUUAUGGAUUUGCAAGAAGUAUACAAAAAUAUUAUUUUUAAAAUUGUGCAAAGGAACCCAUUUAACAAGGAAUGAUUUUAGAAGCAUCUAGGAGUUGGUUUCAUUGAUUUGGAGUUCAAAUGAUUUUCCUAUGAAUUUGCAAAGUUGGCGAUAUAUGGAGAAAUGGACCAAUAUUUCAUGUGGCAUAGAAAGUAUUGGGAAAAAUGUUCAAACACAAAGUUUUAAACUUAUAAGUAUGUAGGAAUUUCAAUCAUGGCAUUCGAAUCAAAAGUGGGCCCUAUGUGAUUUUCUAAAGUUUAUCACAGAAAUGGAAAAAUGGGAUUUCAUAAAUAUUUGUGAAGGAAAUGUUUCUGUAAAAAUGAGAAAAUAUCACCAUGUGAUAGAAAUUUGAAUCAUCAAAUUUGGAAUCCAUUUUAAUUCUCCAGAGAUUUUACAAUGUUUCUCCGAAAAGAAAAAGGGAAAAGGUUUAAACAUUAUUUGGCGCUCGGGGCUAGGCUUAGCGCCGGAGCGCACUUGGCCUGGCCCAGCUACAUAGCCGCACAGGAGGGAAGGGGAGACAUCGAAUACGCACUCCUAGAGUAUGCCUUCCCUGAGCGGAAACGGCUUCUCCUGAACCCGCGUACAGUUAAACCCUGGGCCGGUCGUCGGGUCGCUCACGGGCGGGUCCCGCAUGCAGGUCGCCCGCCCUACCAUGCGUCAUCUUCUACCCCGCGAUGCUGGGCAGAGGGGGCCGACCUCGCUCGCUGCAGGCGCUGCUUCGCCUAUCCGUGCCGAGCAGCAAUGGGGAAUGGAGCUGCGGGCUUGGCCGCACCCAUAGGACGGGGCGGAGGGAGGUAGGGCCCCCUCCAUGCGUCCGCGGAGGCCGGCGAGUCCGGUGCUCAGCUGCUGCCCGUGUCGGUGACUCAAGCCGCCUCCGGUGAUGCUCGGCGCACCGGUGUGCUCGAGAGAUGAUGCGUCGCCGCAUGAUCCUAGUCGCGCACCUCGGGGAGAGCCAGAGUGAACGGGGCUUCAACCACAGCGGAGCAGGGCAUCGACCACCUUGGGCUUCGAGCGCAUGGGCGUCCCGGGAAGGAUUGGUGGCGGUGGGCGACUUUGUGGUGGUGAGGUGAAUUUGUUGGAGUGGCUGGGGGAGAUUUAGAGCUCAUAGUAGCUCGAAUUUGAGCGAUGGCCGUCGGCGGGGCUCUGGCCAUGGAUGUGGAUAGAGGGCACGAGGGGGCGAUGAUACGUCUCUAACGUAUCUACAAUUUUUGAUUGCUCCAUGCUAUUAUAUUAUCUGUUUUGGAUGUUUAAUAGGCAUUUAUGUGCUAGUUUAUAUUAUUUUUGGCACUAACCUAUUAACCGAGAGCCCAGCGCCAGUUUCUGUUUUUUGCCUAUUUUAGAGUUUUGCCGAAAAGGAAUAUCAAACUGAGUCCAAACAGAACGAAACUUUCGCGACGAUCUUUCUUGGACCGAAAGGAAACCAGAAGACUUGGAUAUGAAGUCGGAGACGCAACGAGGCGGUCAUGAGGCAGGAGGGUGCGCCCCCCUACCUCGUGGGCCCCUCGUAGCUCCCCUGACCUAGCUCCUUCGCCUAUAUAUACUCUUAUACCCUAAAAACAUCCGCUGCAACCUUCUAUACCCGUGAGAUCCCAUCUAGGGGCCUUUUUCGGCAUCCUGCCGGAGGGGGAUUUGAUCACGGAUGGCUUCUUCAUCAACACCAUUUCCUAUGAUGCGUGAGUAGUUUACCACAGACCUACGGGUCCAUAGCUAGUAGCUAGAUGGCUUCUUCUCUCUCUUUUAUUCUCAAUACCAUGUUCUCCUGGAUGUUCUUGGAGAUCUACUCGAUGUAAUACUCUUUUGAGGCAUGUUUGCCGAGAUCCGAUGAAUUAAGGAUUUAUGAUCAGAUUAUCUAUGAAUAUUAUUUGGUUCUUCUUUGAAUUCUUAUAUGCAUGAUUUGAUAUAUUCGCAAGUCUCUUCGAAUUAUCGGUUUAGUUUGGCCUACUAGAUUGAUCUUACUUGCAGUGGGAGAAGUGCUUUGCUUUGGGUUCAAUCUUGCGGUGUCCUUUCUCAGUGAUAGUAGGGGCAGUAAGGCACAUAUUGUAUUAUUGCCAUCGAGGAUAAAAAGAUGGGGUUUUCAUCAUAUUGCUUGAGUUGAUUCCUCUACAUCAUGUCAUCUUACUUAAUCGUUACUCUGUCCUUCAUGAACUUAAUACUCUAGAUGCAGGCAGGAGUCGGUCGAUGUGUGGAGUAAUAGUAGUAGAUGCAGAAUCGUUUCGGUCUACUUGACACGGACGUGAUGCCUAUGUUCAUGACCAUUGCCUUAGAUAUCGUCAUAACUAUGCGCUUUUCUUUCAAUUGCUCGGCAGUAAUUUUUUCACCCACCAUAAUAUUUGCUAUCUUGAGAGAAGCCACUAGUGAAACCUAUGGCCCCCGGGUCUCUUUUCCAUUAUAUUGAAUAUCUUUUACAUCUUACUAGUUUCCGAUCUACUAUUUUACAAUCUUUUACUUUUUGAUCUAUAAAGCAAAAAUACCAAAAAUAUUUACUUUACCGUUUAUCUAUCUCUCUCAGAUCUCACUUUUGCAUGUGACCGUGAAGGGAUUGAGAACCCCUUUAUCGCGUUGGGUGCAAGUUGUUGAUUGUUUGUGCAGGUAUUCGGUGACUUGUGCGUUGUCUACUACUGGAUUGAUACCUCCGUUCUCAAAACUUAGGGAAAUACUUACGCUACUUUGCUACAUCACCCUUUCCUCUUCAAGGGAAAAACUAACGCAAGCUCAAGAGGUAGAAAGAAGGAUUUCUGGCGUUGUUGCCGGAGAGAUCUACGUCAAGUCAAGCCAUACCAAGUACCCAUCCUAAACUCUUCUCCCUUUCAUUACAUUAUUCGCCAUUCGCCUCUCGUUUUCCUCUCCCCCACUUCUAAAACGAUUUAAGAAAACCUUUGCCUUUUCUUCGCCCCUCUUCCGUUCGUCUCUUUUCGUUUGCUUCCUGUGUGCUCGUGUGUUAGAUCGCUUGAUUCUCCUUCAUGGCUAGUCCUCCUAUCAUUGUCAGUACUCCCGAUAAUGAAGUCCUAAAUUUUACACAAAGGGAGGGAGAAAAUCUAAAAGAUGCUUGGUAUAGAAUUUGCAAUGCUCAAAACAGAUCUUCUAGAAAGCAAUCUACUUUCAUUCUUCUCCACAAUUUUUAUGUCGGCUUGGCAUAGAUAUGUUCUUGACACCAUUACCGGAGGGAAUUUUUUGGGAAGCCAUACGUUUGAUUCUUAUAACGCCAUGAUAGAUUUGUUGGGCCCGCCACCUCUUUUGGUCAAUGGAACUAUUUUAACCUUGGAACAUAUGAUGCAAAGACUUGAUAUUAUUGAGAAUAAAAUUGCUACUAUAGAGUCGAUUGAAAAUUUGGAUAAAAAUAUUCACAAUCAAAUCACUCAAUAUGGAUCUAAGGUAGGAGUUACUCUAAAGAAUCUUAGAGAAAAGGAACUCAUAGUUAAUGAAAAGAUAGAUUAAUAUUCUACCAGAAUUGAUAAACUCGAAGAUAUUAUUACCAACUUGGGUUCCACUUUUUCUGCUGUUAAAAAUACCUCGAAUCUUCCUCCUACUAAAGUUGCCAAGUUUAUUUACGUUCCUAAGAAUAAGGGUGAAUCUUCUAGUAAGGAAAAUGAAGAUCUAAAAUCAAUAAGUGUUCACCCCAAUAUUUUCGAUAUUGUUAAGGAACCUUUUGCCACAAAUGAAUUUCUCAAUUUCUUGCCUAGGAGUUUAAUCAUUGAUAAAACCAAAGAGUCUCCUAAGGAUUAUUUGUGUUCAAUUGAAGAAUGGCAUAACAAAGAUGACAAUACCUAGAUCUAUUCGUGUUUUUAUGCCUAGCUAAGGCGUUAAACGAUAGCGCUUGUUGGGAGACAACCCAAUUUUAUUUUUGUUCAUUGCUUUUUCCUCCUAUCUAGUAAUAAAUAAUUCAUCUAGCCUCUGGUUAUGUGUUUUUAUAUUUUAAUUAGGGUUUGUGCCAAGUAGAACCUUUAGGUUAGCUUACGGUGAUAGGUGUGUUGAUCCUGUUGAAAAUCAGAAACUUUUGCGCUUAGUAAAUUAGUUUUGAAAAUUCACAGAAACAUGAUUUUGAUCUGAUUCUUUUUGCUCCGGAUUGGUAAACAAAUCUGUGACGCCCGGAUAAUUAAGCCAGAGUAAUCCCCCCCUAAUAGUGGCCAUGUCAUCGUGAUUACUAUGCAAAUUGCCAUUUGUUCUAAAGUCCAAGUCAAAUUCAAAUUUGAAUUCCAAGUCAAAUAAUUUUUCUCUAAACGGUAAAACAAAAAUGUUUGUUGGGUUGAAAAUAUUCACUAACUAAUUAUCAUAUAAGAACCAACAUUAUUUGAGUAUCUGAAAUGCCAUUAACCUAUUUGGACUUGGACCAGUAACAUUUAAUUUAUCAAUUACAAUUUAAAUAAAUGGUGAAACUUCUCCAAAUAAAUUGAGACCUUGUGUGUGGCUUCAGAAUCCUACCUAGUAAUUACGUGCUAAGUUGCACCUAUAAAUAAAUUCAUUUAAUAGUACCUCAAAAUAAUGCAAAACAGAGGUGAACUAAAGAAAAGCAGAGAAUAAAGCAAAAACAAAAGGAGCCCAGCUAACUACUAUGCACCGGGCCCUAAUGGCCCCAAGUGCACAGCACGCUCAGCCCAUUCACGCCUGCUCCUACCUCCUGUUCACCUCGCUCCCGUGGACGCCCGUGCGCCGUCCAGCACGCGGAUGUCGCGCUGCCGCCCAUCCCGUGGUUGAACAGUUGGAUAAGAGCCCUCCCUCGACGCCCCUCUCUCUGCCAUGAACCCUAGCUCCCUCCAUUUUCCCCUCUGGCGCCGUUCUCCACCAAAUCGAGCCGCGUCUGAGAGGUCCCAUGGCUGCGCCGUCGACGUUGGCGCGGACACCGGCCUCCCCUCGCCUAUCCAGCAGGUCCAGGAGGCGCGCACCUUCACCCUCUUCGUCUACGGCAAGUCGCGCGAGCAGGGACGCCCUCACGCCGUCGCAAUCGUCGAUCCCCAUCGUCGGCCGUCGCUUCUACCUCGUCGUCGACCCGCCGCUGCCUGCGCUCCCGUUCAUUCGAAGAGCCACCAUGUGCUCCCUGGUGAGCACUCGCGCUGAUUCCCCCUGCUUGCCCCUCGAUUCAUGGCGGUAGCCUCCGUCCCCGACAUCGUCGGAGCUCGCGCGUACGCGUACAUACGUACGUGUGUACUGCUGCUGCCGCUGCGCUGCUUGCUACUGCCGCCGCCCUUGCACUGCUGCUGCGCUGCCGCCAUUGCUCCUUUGCUAAGUUGCUGCUGCUAGCGUUGCUUUGUUGCUGCUUCAUGUUGCUACUCAUGCGCUAUGCCUCGGCCAUGGCCAUGGCCAAGAGAUGUGUGUUGUGUGUGUAGCCCGCUAGUGCUAGUACCAGGCGGGGCUAGCCCAAUUAGUUAGGCUAAUCUCUACUCCUAAUGUCUCAGUUGGUAGGUCGCGUUCCGGGUUUUAUUUUCGUCCCACCUAACCCGGUCUAUUUUGGUACUUCUUUGGUAUUACUUCCCACCUCCCUCCCAACCGCGGAAAACCAAAAAAACCCCUAAGAUGGAGUCCCGCACCCGCACAACCUCCCGUCGUAAUUAACUGAGACGAUCGAAAAUAAACCACCGAGCACAAACCGGCGAAAAUUAACCAGCGAAAAAAAAACCAAAACAAUCGCACGCACGUACAAGCAAGGCCGCCUGCCCUCGAGCGAGAACCACUCGCACGCACGACUCGCUCAGCAAAUCGUGCGCCGCCGCCCUCCAUCCUUCGCCACCGCCGCUCCAUCCCUUCGCCGCCGCCGCUCCAUCCCUUCGCCGCCGACCUCGCACAUCAAAGCCGCCGCCGCUCCAUCCCUUNNNNNNNNNNNNNNNNNNNNNNNNNNNNNNNNNNNNNNNNNNNNNNNNNNNNNNNNNNNNNNNNNNNNNNNNNNNNNNNNNNNNNNNNNNNNNNNNNNNNNNNNNNNNNNNNNNNNNNNNNNNNNNNNNNNNNNNNNNNNNNNNNNNNNNNNNNNNNNNNNNNNNNNNNNNNNNNNNNNNNNNNNNNNNNNNNNNNNNNNNNNNNNNNNNNNNNNNNNNNNNNNNNNNNNNNNNNNNNNNNNNNNNNNNNNNNNNNNNNNNNNNNNNNNNNNNNNNNNNNNNNNNNNNNNNNNNNNNNNNNNNNNNNNNNNNNNNNNNNNNNNNNNNNNNNNNNNNNNNNNNNNCCACCCGCCGACGUUCCAGAUCCGGCCAUCGUUGACCCCCUCCACAUCAGUGAUUGGUCAAGGUAGGGGUGUGUGGCUCUAUCCAUCUUCCCGCGUGUACGACGUCCGUGUAUCCCGGGCAAGGGUGCUUGUGAGAUCGGGAGGCGAUCAAAAGGAGGAAGAGGAGAUCCAUGGUUGGGGAUACAUUCAACGACCUAGGCAUCAUCCUCCCUGACGUCGUACUCGAAGCCCGCAGCCAUUGCCUUCUCAAUCUACGUUAGUCAGCAGCAGCAAGGUCAGACCCCACUAUAUUUUCUUCAGAUCUUGCAUCGCCAUGGUGACUCCACAAAAUUUGUACAUCCAUUGCCGACGUUGGUAUUUAUUCAGCAGAGAAUUAACAACAGUAGACCAAAGCAAAGGGGGGUCAGCCUGAAUGGGACGUAUCCCCUCCAGAAGACUCGCCCUAGCUAACCUGCCUGGUACCUUUCAUUAGCACUUCUCCCAGUAAGUUUGCAAAUUUUGGAUCCACCACUUUUGAAUCAUGCUUGGUGUGUGCUGACGGUGCACGAGGAACGUGACGGUUUUUCUCCGAAUCAUGCCAUAGUUCUCUCAAUAUUGUACGUGUUGUUCUCUCAGCAUUGUACGUCUUGUUCUCUGCAUGAUGUGUGGUCGAUGGGCGGAGGCGACGACUGGCGGCUGUUCUAUUUACACCUGACAUGGUUGAGAGGCUAGGGAGCAGGCGAUUUUGCACUCGUAUUUGGUCGGCAAUGGAGAUGAAUUUGUGAGAGAUGUGGCUGGGAGUUGCACCGGUCAUUUUUCUGCCCUCUCUAUGUUAUCCCUUUGCACUAAUCGGUAAUUGCUUUUUGACCAGGGGAUAGGGUAGCGUACACGAACAGCAAAAUUGUAGAAGACGAGGAGGACAAUCUGAGUGACCAACAUUAUGUGGAGUAUUGAGAUGCAGGUAAGACAUGUGUAAUCUGAAUUGAGACAUAUGGAGGGCAUACAUAGUAUGUAUGUGCAGUUUUUAAUUGUAGGUUGAAUUCUUGUUCUCUAGAUCCAUCUUCACCGACAGCACGCGCUUGUCUGUGACCUCCCACCAGCAACGCCUUGAGGUCACCCACACAAGUGACCAAGCAAUUCCACACUGUCACCCUCUGCUACUUCGCCAACGACAUCGAGGAGGUCGUGGGUGAGAGCUACUGUCCUCCCUGGAGAACAUGCUCGUGCCCCAUGCGUAUGAAGAAGAGCUAAGACACUCGCAUGGGUGCUCAAGGAAAUACACCAGAUUGAGCGAGGUUAGAUUAAAGUUUCUUCAUUCUACACUAGCUUUUCUUGUGCCUUUAGGUAUUUCAGAUAAGUAUCGUAUGCUGCCUACAACAUGUAAGGGAAGCUAAAAAGGAUUACAAAAUAUUUAUGCUUCUUCAUAGUUGUCCAUUUGGUUCUAAACUUUGUUGAGUAGCAGACAUAUUUUACAUUAAUUAAUAAAUAAUGUUGCUGCACACGUGAGUUGGUUUGCAAUGAAGUGGGCAGGUAGACAUGUUUUUGUUGAAUAAAUAUUUUUCAUAAAUACGGGGACAUGAAGAUAAUCUAUUCUUUCUUUACUCCGUUGACAAUGGGACAAUGUUCUUUUUGUGUUUCAGAGUAAAAAAACAGACUCCAAUCUGAAUCUGACGAGUAAAAAAAUAUCGUUGUUUUUCAGAGUGUUACGCAAUUUAUCAACAAGAGCAAAGACUCUAAUCUGAUGAUGUAGGACAGCUUUAAUGUGACAGAGGAUCAUGGUGGUCGAUGGAUUGUGCACCCGGUAGUAGACUAGGAAAGGAACAUUAUUUACGGAACACAAUGAUAUUCAGAGCAGCCCUGCACUAUGUGAGAUUUAGAAGGUAUUCAAAUUAGUGUUUGUUGAUAACUGCAAAUUCCGUGUGUCCGAGUUUGAUAUUUUUCUUUCUAUCCCUGUCAACGUACUAAUCCGUUGUUCUUUGAUGUGCAGUUGGUACUGCCGGCGGAUGCAUCCAUGUGCUAAUCUCCUGGCACCGCGUAGACGGAGCCAAACGAGUUGGGGCCUCCAGCCGGCUGGUAGUGGACAACAACACCGGGUUUGUUAAUUAAUCAACAAGUCACAGAUUGUCCUCUUUUCUGAUUGGUCUGGUGUGGAUUAUCAGGCCUGCCGCGCAAUCAUAGAUUUAUCUUUUGAUUUUUGUGGGUGGACAGAAACACCCUUUCUAAAGUUUUCUAGGGAUUGUAAUGAAGCACAGUAACACACUCCAGCAUUCAUUCUUUGCUUGAUAUUAGCAAGCAAUGUAAAAUAACCAAGCUCACAACAUUCUAAAGCGGUCUAUUAGCUACUUCAGCAGACAACAGACAGAAAGAAGUAAGCAGUAUUUGAUUUGCUCAUACCCGUGGAGGGAUCGAAUUCUGCCCAAAGUUUGUCGCAGCACUUGUGGUCAGCGGCGAGGAUGAGCACCCACACCCGCUCCUUGUUGCUGGCCUCUGCAUCCUCCUCCCUUGAAGCGGGUCUAUGCGGGGAGUUGAUCUAGAAUAUCCUAUUGUUAGAUAUAACAAAUAGGUGACAAGAAAUAAACAAGAACUAUGUAGUACAAUAUAUGUGUCACACAGUAUACUUUGAAAAUGUGUAAUUUGAGAUUCUGAUAUAGAUGUAGGCCUGUAACACACCUUGAACAUGCACUGAAAAUUGUUGUUUACAGUCUCAUUUCUAAACCUGAUGAAAACCCCUAUUUAAAAAAGGAUUUAAUAGUUGUAGUGAUUCUUUUGUCAGAUUGAUAAUAUAUUGCAAAUUAUGCUUGAUGGUUAAUUUCUUGGCAUAAAAGGUGCUUAUUUGAAAUUUGGUUACUACUGAAAUUUUGUCAAGAUACUUGGACUUGUUCAUUGUUCAGUCAGGUUCCAAUCAAGAGUUAACCUGAGACAAUAGAAAGUACUGUCUGUGUAACUAUUGAUGGUUCUGGAAUAAGGAUUAAACCAAAUCAACGAAACAAAUCCUCGAGGAUGCCUUUUUUGGUAGCUAGCGAGGUUAAACUUUUCAAACCGUGCUCAGCCCUGUACUCAUAGGUCCAUUGUUUCAAUAUUUAUGAAGCACCACAUUUCCAAAUACAUUUAUUAAGCACCCUACCAAUGUCAAGUUUUCAGAUCUUGCGUACUUUCUUGUGGUACAUGCCUACAAAUUUUUGUACAGUCUAUAAAAAAACGACGACUGUCCGGUCUGGUCAUAAACGUAGCCUGAUCAUAAAAAAUGAAGUACACAAAAAACUUCAUAAACAUACUUGUCACAAUUUUUUAUUAACCUUGUUUUUACAAUCUUUCAGAUUAUUCAGAAAACGAUUUACACAAUUUUUUAUUUAGAGAAAGAGUUACCACCAUUUUUUUUAGAAACAACUUUCAUGUUCUUCUUUAGAAACAUUUUUUACCACUAUUAUGAAAAUAUGUUCAUAUUAAAGAUUACAGCUGCAAAAAAUAUAACAGCUGCAUGAUGGUUAAUCAAAUCAAGGAUGGUCGAGAACUUGCAGAUGCUACGUAAUUUAUUUUGAAGUUAAGACUCAACUUGGAGCAUUGGAGCAUUUGAGAAAUCUCACCACCAAGUCGACAUCCAGCAAUGGCAUCUAGAGCACAAAGGUCUAAAAUUGAAAAGUACACAAUCUGUUGAAAUGCUCUCACCAUCUCAUGAAAUUGAUGUGCUCGGUGAGGCAGAGGACGAUGGUGUAGUGCUGCCGAAGCUCGGUACUUCCUUCGCUGCACUGUGCUUGCUCUUCUAGGUGUCAUCCAACGUUGCCCUUGCGCGCAUCCGCAUCAGUCUCCAACCUUGUUACAAUUAAUAUAUUAACGCCCAUUGCUUCAAAGGGAUAUAUAUGAAAAGACAACAGAAUAGAAAACCAUAUAAACAUGGUGGAAAUGACUAAACAGAGUUACUAUAUGCACAUCUUUGUAAAGAAGGUAAGAACAAAAGAAAUUUCUUCCUCUACUCCAAGUGUGACACCUCUGAAUCUUUCAGUUGUAGAAGAAGACAGAAUGGAGAUUAGACUAAUCUGCCUUCUCGUUUUGAAGAUCACAACAACAUUUACUACAUCACAACGCACAAGAACCUAACGGUUAAGUCAAACGGAGUUUGGAAAUCAACAAUCAUGAGUUGUGAGAUAACAAAAUAAUCACAUCUGACUUGGUCACUCAAAAGAACUUAUGCAGGUGAGAACCCUUACUGUGCUACUGCUAACGCCAUAAUUUAUUUGAUUCAAGUGGAGAGCUUUUUUAUUCCUCCAAAGCCCAAGAUAUAUAGCAUUUUUCAGAGAAAGGUAACAGCCUCAACAGAUUCUAGAUAAGAAAAGGUGAUGGAAGUGCAUGAAGCUGGAUUUGAGAGUGAGACUGAGAAGAAAAGACUACGGGGUAAUCAAAGUACAAUAGGUGAUUCAAAUAGAAUGUUUAGGAUACAUAUGUUUACAGUUGAUUUUCAGUUCGUAGAAAUAUAAUGUUUGGUACAACUGGACUGAAACAAAACUCAAAAAAAUUGUACCUUCGCUGUGUGAUUUCCCUGUCAAAUACCGAGCAUACUAUCAGUAGGCUGUGUAGCAGGCCAACAGGCAGCAAGCCAGCAACUCAGCCUGGGUUGGCCAGAUCGACGGUGCGGCUCAGCUUGAGGUAGAAAUCUUCAAGUCGCCCUCGGCUCCGGAAAUCGCCCUGGGAUGGCUAGAUCCACGGCGCGGCUCGCCGACGGCCGGAUCCGGCUGCUCACCGCGACACCUGGUCUCACCAUUGCUCACUAGACCCGGCCGAAACAGAUAACUGUGGCGGGGACCGAGGAGUGGAGAGGAUGGGAGGAGGCAGGGACGCGCCAAGGUGGGGAGUUGUGGCGGCUGGGACGGCGUGGCGGAGAGGGUUGGCGGCGGCGACGAUGUGGCGGAGAGAACGAGCAAGAGGGGUGAGAGAGUGUGGUCUUGCAGAGGGGUGCCAUGGGGUGAGAGAGUGAGAGGGUGGCUGCCGUGAGG
This 11352-nucleotide long non-coding RNA is filed under the name Triticum aestivum (bread wheat). RNAcentral describes it as "long non-coding RNA (TAES_LNC012007)". The record is from RNAcentral. Lineage: Eukaryota; Viridiplantae; Streptophyta; Magnoliopsida; Poales; Poaceae.